This 252-nucleotide ribosomal RNA is filed under the name uncultured bacterium. Its description in RNAcentral is "partial 16S ribosomal RNA". It matches the Rfam family "Bacterial small subunit ribosomal RNA", at positions 524 to 776 of the family's 1533-position model. The record is from RNAcentral.
UACAGAGGCCUCAAGCGUUAGGCGGAAUCACUGGGCUUAAAGCGUGUGUAGGCGGACUUCUAAGUACCUUGUGAAAUCCCACGGCUUAACUGUGGAACUGCUUGGUAUACUGGUUGUCUUGAGCCACUCAGGGGCGAGCGGAACAAAUGGUGGAGCGGUGAAAUGCGUAGAUAUCAUUUGGAACGCCAAUGGUGAAAACAGCUCGCUGGGGGUGUGCUGACGCUGAGACACAAAGCCAGGGGAGCGAACGGG